This 468-nucleotide ribosomal RNA is filed under the name uncultured bacterium. RNAcentral's name for it is "bacterial SSU rRNA". It matches the Rfam family "Bacterial small subunit ribosomal RNA", at positions 329 to 794 of the family's 1533-position model. The record is from RNAcentral.
UGCCAGACUCCUACGGGAGGCAGCAGUGAGGAAUAUUGGUCAAUGGCCGGAAGGCUGAACCAGCCAAGCCGCGUGAAGGACGAAGGUGCCAAGCAUUGUAAACUUCUUUUGUCAAGGGACAAAAUCAGGCUCGAGAGCCUGACCGAGGGUACUUGAAGAAAAAGCAUCGGCUAACUCCGUGCCAGCAGCUGCGGUAAUACGGAGGAUGCGAGCGUUAUCCGGAUUUAUUGGGUUUAAAGGGUGCGUAGGCGGGCUGUUAAGUCAGCGGUAAAAGCCCGGGGCUCAACCCCGGGGCUGCCGUUGAAACCGGAGCGCUAGAAUUCCGAUGCCGUCGGAGGAAUGUGUGGUGUAGCGGUGAAAUGCAUAGAUAUCACGCAGAACUCCGAUUGCGAAGGCAGCAUACCGGCGCCCGACUGACGCUGAGGCACGAAAGCGUGGGGAUCGAACAGGAUUAGAUACCCGCGUAAA